GGGCGCUUAGUGGAGUGGUUACCACGUUGGUCUUCGAUACUGUUCGGAUUCAAACCGUCAGAUUGUCGAACCAAAGUUCGUCAGUUCGAUCCUGGCAGUGCUCA
Non-coding RNA from Ceratobasidium sp. 395, 104 nucleotides. The record is from the annotation of a GenBank genome assembly. Lineage: Eukaryota; Fungi; Basidiomycota; Agaricomycetes; Cantharellales; Ceratobasidiaceae.